AAAAAAGGUAAGCUACUAAGAGCGAAUGGUGGAUGCCUUGACUGGUAAAGGCGAUGAAGGACGUACUAGACUGCGAUAAGCUACGGGGAGCUGUCAAGAAGCUUUGAUCCGUAGAUUUCCGAAUGGGGCAACCCAAUGUAUAGAGAUAUACAUUACCUAUAUAGGAGCGAACGAGGGGAAUUGAAACAUCUUAGUACCCUCAGGAAAAGAAAUCAAUAGAGAUUGCGUCAGUAGCGGCGAGCGAAAGCGCAAGAGGGCAAACCCAGUGCUUGCACUGGGGGUUGUAGGACUGCAAUGUGCAAGAGCUGAGUUUAGCAGAACAUUCUGGAAAGUAUAGCCAUAGAGGGUGAUAGUCCCGUAUGCGAAAAACAAAGCUUAGCUAGCAGUAUCCUGAGUAGGGCGGGACACGAGGAAUCCUGUCUGAAUCCGGGUCGACCACGAUCCAACCCUAAAUACUAAUACCAGAUCGAUAGUGCACAAGUACCGUGAGGGAAAGGUGAAAAGAACUGAGGUGAUCAGAGUGAAAUAGAACCUGAAACCAUUUGCUUACAAUCAUUCAGAGCACUAUGUAGCAAUACAGUGUGAUGGACUGCCUUUUGCAUAAUGAGCCUGCGAGUUGUGGUGUCUGGCAAGGUUAAGCAAACGCGAAGCCGUAGCGAAAGCGAGUCUGAAUAGGGCGCUUAGUCAGAUGCUGCAGACCCGAAACGAAGUGAUCUAUCCAUGAGCAAGUUGAAGCUAGUGUAAGAACUAGUGGAGGACUGAACCCAUAGGCGUUGAAAAGCCCCGGGAUGACUUGUGGAUAGGGGUGAAAGGCCAAUCAAACUUCGUGAUAGCUGGUUCUCUCCGAAAUAUAUUUAGGUAUAGCGUUGUGUCGUAAUAUAAGGGGGUAGAGCACUGAAUGGGCUAGGGCAUACACCAAUGUACCAAACCCUAUCAAACUCCGAAUACCUUAUAUGUAAUCACAGCAGUCAGGCGGCGAGUGAUAAAAUCCGUCGUCAAGAGGGAAACAACCCAGACUACCAGCUAAGGUCCCUAAAUCUUACUUAAGUGGAAAACGAUGUGAAGUUACUUAAACAACCAGGAGGUUGGCUUAGAAGCAGCCAUCCUUUAAAGAAAGCGUAAUAGCUCACUGGUCUAGUGAUUUUGCGCGGAAAAUAUAACGGGGCUAAAGUAAGUACCGAAGCUGUAGACUUGCGCACAACUUAGAUUAUUUAAGUUUAGAAUAUGAGAAACUAAGUUAUAUUUUUACUGAUUUUUAUAGAGUAAAGAUAGAAAUAAAACUUAGUAAAAUCAGUAAAAAUAUUCUUAGGCUAAAGUUAAGUAGUUUAAGUUGUGUGCAAGUGGUAGGAGAGCGUUCUAUUUGCGUCGAAGGUAUACCGGUAAGGAGUGCUGGAGCGAAUAGAAGUGAGCAUGCAGGCAUGAGUAGCGAUAAUUAAUGUGAGAAUCAUUAACGCCGUAAACCCAAGGUUUCCUACGCGAUGCUCGUCAUCGUAGGGUUAGUCGGGUCCUAAGUCGAGUCCGAAAGGGGUAGACGAUGGCAAAUUGGUUAAUAUUCCAAUACCAACAUUAGUGUGCGAUGGAAGGACGCUUAGGGCUAAGGGGGCUAGCGGAUGGAAGUGCUAGUCUAAGGUCGUAGGAGGUUAUACAGGCAAAUCCGUAUAACAAUACUCCGAGAACUGAAAGGCUUUUUGAAGUCUUCGGAUGGAUAGAAGAACCCCUGAUGCCGUCGAGCCAAGAAAAGUUUCUAAGUUUAGCUAAUGUUGCCCGUACCGUAAACCGACACAGGUGGGUGGGAUGAGUAUUCUAAGGCGCGUGGAAGAACUCUCUUUAAGGAACUCUGCAAAAUAGCACCGUAUCUUCGGUAUAAGGUGUGGUUAGCUUCGUACUAGGAUUUACUCCGAAAGCGAAGAAACUUACAACAAAGAGUCCCUCCCGACUGUUUACCAAAAACACAGCACUCUGCUAACUCGUAAGAGGAUGUAUAGGGUGUGACGCCUGCCCGGUGCUCGAAGGUUAAUUGAUGGGGUUAGCAUUAGCGAAGCUCUUGAUCGAAGCCCGAGUAAACGGCGGCCGUAACUAUAACGGUCCUAAGGUAGCGAAAUUCCUUGUCGGUUAAAUACCGACCUGCAUGAAUGGCGUAACGAGAUGGGAGCUGUCUCAAAGAGGGAUCCAGUGAAAUUGUAGUGGAGGUGAAAAUUCCUCCUACCCGCGGCAAGACGGAAAGACCCCGUGGACCUU
This 2238-nucleotide ribosomal RNA is filed under the name Campylobacter jejuni. RNAcentral's name for it is "partial 23S ribosomal RNA". It matches the Rfam family "Bacterial large subunit ribosomal RNA", at positions 1 to 2101 of the family's 2925-position model. Lineage: Bacteria; Pseudomonadati; Campylobacterota; Epsilonproteobacteria; Campylobacterales; Campylobacteraceae. The record is from RNAcentral.